CAGCAGCCGCGGUAAUACGGAGGGCGCGAGCGUUGUCCGGAUUCACUGGGCGUAAAGCGGGUGUAGGCGGUCGGGUAAGUCGGACGUGAAAGCCCGGGGCUCAACCCCGGAAGGGCGUCCGAAACUGCUCGACUUGAGGGCGGGAGAGGGAGGUGGAAUUCCCGGUGUAGCGGUGAAAUGCGUAGAUAUCGGCAGGAACGCCGGUGGGGAAGCCGGUCUCCUGGGCCGCGCCCGACGCUGAGGCCCGAAAGCUAGGGGAGCAAACCGGAUUAGAUACCCGGGUAGUCCUAGCCGUAAACGAUGCCCACUAGGUGUGGGGGAGUAUUUCCUCCGUGCUGUAGCUAACGCGUUAAGUGGGCCGCCUGGGGAGUACGCCCGCAAGGGUGAAACUUAAAGGAAUUGGCGGG
This 407-nucleotide ribosomal RNA is filed under the name uncultured microorganism. RNAcentral describes it as "bacterial SSU rRNA". It matches the Rfam family "Bacterial small subunit ribosomal RNA", at positions 509 to 917 of the family's 1533-position model. The record is from RNAcentral.